RNAcentral lists this ribosomal RNA (482 nucleotides) under uncultured bacterium. Its description in RNAcentral is "bacterial SSU rRNA". It matches the Rfam family "Bacterial small subunit ribosomal RNA", at positions 15 to 518 of the family's 1533-position model. The record is from RNAcentral.
GAUUAUGGCUCAGGAUGAACGCUGACAGAAUGCUUAACACAUGCAAGUCUGCUUGAUCCGUUCGGGUGAAGGUGGCGGACGGGUGAGUAACGCGUAAAGAACUUGCCUUACAGACUGGGACAACAUUUGGAAACGAAUGCUAAUACCGGAUAUUAUGAUUGGGUCGCAUGAUCUGGUUAUGAAAGCUAUAUGCGCUGUGAGAGAGCUUUGCGUCCCAUUAGUUAGUUGGUGAGGUAACGGCUCACCAAGACGAUGAUGGGUAGCCGGCCUGAGAGGGUGAACGGCCACAAGGGGACUGAGACACGGCCCUUACUCCUACGGGAGGCAGCAGUGGGGAAUAUUGGACAAUGGACCAAAAGUCUGAUCCAGCAAAUUCUGUGUGCACGAUGAAGUUUUUCGGAAUGUAAAGUGCUUUCAGUUGGGAAGAAGUCAGUGACGGUACCAACAGAAGAAGCGACGGCUAAAUACGUGCCAGCCGCAGC